UAAAACUCAAAUGAAUUGACGGGGGCCCGCACAAGCGGUGGAGCAUGUGGUUUAAUUCGAUGCAACGCGAAGAACCUUACCUGGUCUUGACAUCCACGGAAGUUUUCAGAGAUGAGAAUGUGCCUUCGGGAACCGUGAGACAGGUGCUGCAUGGCUGUCGUCAGCUCGUGUUGUGAAAUGUUGGGUUAAGUCCCGCAACGAGCGCAACCCUUAUCCUUUGUUGCCAGCGGUCCGGCCGGGAACUCAAAGGAGACUGCCAGUGAUAAACUGGAGGAAGGUGGGGAUGACGUCAAGUCAUCAUGGCCCUUACGACCAGGGCUACACACGUGCUACAAUGGCGCAUACAAAGAGAA
RNAcentral lists this ribosomal RNA (353 nucleotides) under Escherichia coli. RNAcentral's name for it is "bacterial SSU rRNA". It matches the Rfam family "Bacterial small subunit ribosomal RNA", at positions 895 to 1248 of the family's 1533-position model. Lineage: Bacteria; Pseudomonadati; Pseudomonadota; Gammaproteobacteria; Enterobacterales; Enterobacteriaceae. The record is from RNAcentral.